Molecule: non-coding RNA, 92 nt
Organism: Rhizobium mesoamericanum STM3625
Lineage: Bacteria; Pseudomonadati; Pseudomonadota; Alphaproteobacteria; Hyphomicrobiales; Rhizobiaceae
Source: Rfam
GUCCAGAAUGCGGCGGACCAGAGCCAACAGCCCGUAAGGCCUAUGGCCACAGCUGGCCAGAGGCGGGAAACGAGGCCUGCCAGGCCGGCUGU